Molecule: RNA transcript, 1881 nt
Organism: Bactrocera latifrons
Lineage: Eukaryota; Metazoa; Arthropoda; Insecta; Diptera; Tephritidae
Gene: IFT52
Gene name: intraflagellar transport protein 52 homolog
Exons: 8
Source: RefSeq, a predicted model, not a curated record
UGUCAAAAAUKAUUUUGCUUUAGAAGCUGUUUGUAAURUAAAAGAUUUCARUAAUUUUCAWAUAAGCCUUAAAAUCGAAGAUAUGAUUCAAUGGAACUCGGAAAAAUGAAUUUAUAUUUCUACAGUUAAUGUUAAACUGUUUGUCCGGCAUCACUAUUAAACUUAUUCAAGUSGAGUUGCAAUGAAGUGUUGCUAGGAAACGGAAACGAACAACAAAAGCCGGCUAGUUGGAUAUUCACUUUGCAAAUUAAUUGACCAUUUAUAUUUAAUAAAACUUUAAUUUGUUUAAAAAAGUAACUGAAACAUGUCGAAAGGUGUCAUUUGCUUUGACAUAUCGAAAAAUGAACGUUUCCAGUUAUCGGAUAACUAUAAAAUGCUGCAUCGCAAACUGAAAGUAAAUUGGAAGGUUGAACAGAGCGAUGGCGAGCUGAAGAAAGAACGGCUGCAGCGUGUGGGCAUCUUUGUUCUGGCCGGACCGCAGGAUCGCUUCACCGAGGAAGAGUUUCAAGUGUUGAAGGAAUUUGUGGAAAAGGGUGGCAAAUUGUGGGUGUUGCUUGGCGAAGGUGGCGAACAGGAAUUCAAUACAAAUGUGAAUUUCUUUCUAGAACAAUAUGGCAUAUACAUAAAUAGCGACACCGUUGUGCGCCCACAUUACUACAAAAAUUUCCAUCCUAAGGAGUGCAUUAUCGGCGGUGGUGUGGUUUGCGAGUCGAUGUGGCGGCAUUUGAUCAAGCAAGAUAUCGAAGUGGUCGAUUAUGAUUUUAGCGAUGAAAAAUACAAAAUACACUUUCAAUAUCCAUAUGGCGCGACGCUAAAUGUCUCAGAACCGGCGAAUGUGCUACUAAGCACUGGACCGGUUGUAUAUCCCUUUAAUCGACCACUAGCUGGUUACUACGUCAACGAGCAUGGCGGCAAGAUACUCGCCAUUGGCUCUGGCUACAUGUUGCACGAUAAGUAUUUGCAGAGCGAUAAGACUAACGACGCGCUAUUGGAAUAUUUUAUACAACUUUUAGGCGGCAAUGAAAUACAAUAUUCGCAUUUGGACUUCAACGAUGUGGAGAUAAACGACAACAAAACAUUCACCGAUAUCGCCUUCAUUGCCGACUUGCCGAAAGCUUGUCUGAUCGACUCCAUUGGCGGCACCGAAACACCCGCCGAUUUCAAACAAAUGUUCGACAUGACAAUCUACUCGUUAAGUAAUCGUUUGCUGAAGGAUGUAAUGACGACAUACGAACAAUUGAAUGUCAAAUAUGAACCCUUAAAAAUAAUUAAGCCGCAAUUUGAGAUUCCAUUGCCGCCAUUACAGUUAGCGACUUUCCCACCCAUCUUUAGUGAGCCUGCCGCCCCACCACUCGAGCUCUUCGACUUGGACGAGGUGUUCAGCGCUGCGCGCACACAACUGGCCAAUAUGACCAGCAAGUGUGUGCAGUCCAUUACAGCGAAGGAUGCCAGUAAGCCACUAAAUACACGUGAAUUGGAGAAUUACAUCAAAGAGUGUGCGCGCAUUACGGGCAUCAUACACGAGCACCAAGAUGUGCAAGCGCGUGAGAUACUCAACAUACUGGCGCGCCAGAUCGUAAACUACAAACCGUACGCGGAUGAGUAGUGGAUGCGUCAGCCGAAACCGGAGUGGAGUUKCUUCUGUUGCACAAUGUUGCGAAAGGAAUUAGAAUGCAAAAAUGAUACUAUUAAAGGUUUUAAUUGAAAAAUAUGCAAAUUGCAGCAACAUUGUACACAUACAUAUAAACAGUCUUAUUUUUUGCACUCACAUUGGAAGGAGCGGCGCUAAACAAUAUUUCAUUUUGCUCUCAGCUCAAUUCACAGUUCAUAUGGACCAGUCCGCAUCAAAUUUGAUCAGAUGGAUAUACUAAUGGAAUUUAA